This 454-nucleotide ribosomal RNA is filed under the name uncultured bacterium. RNAcentral's name for it is "bacterial SSU rRNA". It matches the Rfam family "Bacterial small subunit ribosomal RNA", at positions 30 to 507 of the family's 1533-position model. The record is from RNAcentral.
AUUGAACGCUGGCGGCAGGCCUAAUACAUGCAAGUCGAACGGUAACAUGAAAAAGCUUGCUUUUUUUGAUGACGAGUGGCGGACGGGUGAGUAAGGUUUGGGAAACUGCCUGAUAGAGGGGGACGAACAGUUGGAACGACUGCUAAUACCGCAUACAGCCGAGAGGUGAAGGAGCAAUCCGCUAUCAGAUGUGCCCAAAUGGGAUUAGCUAGUAGGUGAGGUAAAGGCUCACCUAGGCGACGAUCUCUAGCUGGUCUGAGAGGAUGAUCAGCCACAUUGGGACUGAGACACGGCCCAGACUCCUACGGGAGGCAGCAGUAGGGAAUAUUGCACAAUGGGGGGAAACCCUGAUGCAGCGACGCCGCGUGAGCGAUGAAGUAUUUCGGUAUGUAAAGCUCUAUCAGCAGGGAAGAAAAUGACGGUACCUGAUGAAUAAGCCACGGCUAACUACGUG